Molecule: transfer RNA, 93 nt
Filed under: Bacteroides sp. ET489
Lineage: Bacteria; Pseudomonadati; Bacteroidota; Bacteroidia; Bacteroidales; Bacteroidaceae
Description: tRNA-Cys
Source: RNAcentral
UCCCCUCUACACCCGAAUGGUAGCGGGCAAAGGGAUAUAAGUCCACACAAAGGCCUGGGAGCGACGGCGGUUCGAUUCCGCCAAGGGGAGCCA